Acanthosepion pharaonis is the source of this 100-nucleotide non-coding RNA. The record is from the annotation of a GenBank genome assembly. Lineage: Eukaryota; Metazoa; Mollusca; Cephalopoda; Sepiida; Sepiidae.
CGUUAAAACAUGCGUUCCAGUACGAUCACCGAAGUUAAGCAAUGUCGAGCCUGCUCACUACCUAGAUGGGUAACCGUUCGGGAGUCUUAGGUGCUGCAAG